AUGCUCACUUUGGCAGCACAUACGCUAAAAUUGAAACUAUACAGGCAAGAUUAGCACGGCCCCUGCGCAAGGAAGACGUGCAAAUUUGUGAAGUGUUCCAUAUUUUG
RNAcentral lists this small nuclear RNA (107 nucleotides) under Propithecus coquereli (Coquerel's sifaka). The record is from RNAcentral. Lineage: Eukaryota; Metazoa; Chordata; Mammalia; Primates; Indriidae.